This 497-nucleotide ribosomal RNA is filed under the name uncultured bacterium. RNAcentral's name for it is "partial 16S ribosomal RNA". It matches the Rfam family "Bacterial small subunit ribosomal RNA", at positions 28 to 507 of the family's 1533-position model. The record is from RNAcentral.
GAUGAACGCUGGCGGCGUGCCUAAUACAUGCAAGUCGAGCGAACAGAUGAGGAGCUUGCUCCUCUGACGUUAGCGGCGGACGGGUGAGUAACACGUGGAUAACCUACCUAUAAGACUGGGAUAACUUCGGGAAACCGGAGCUAAUACCGGAUAAUAUAUUGAACCGCAUGGUUCAAUAGUGAAAGACGGUUUUGCUGUCACUUAUAGAUGGAUCCGCGCCGCAUUAGCUAGUUGGUAAGGUAACGGCUUACCAAGGCGACGAUGCGUAGCCGACCUGAGAGGGUGAUCGGCCACACUGGAACUGAGACACGGUCCAGACUCAUACGGGAGGCAGCAGUAGGGAAUCUUCCGCAAUGGGCGAAAGCUUGACGGAGCAACGCCGCGUGAGUGAUGAAGGUCUUCGGAUCGUAAAACUCUGUUAUUAGGGAAGAACAAAUGUGUAAGUAACUAUGCACGUCUUGACGGUACCUAAUCAGAAAGCCACGGCUAACUACGUG